RNAcentral lists this long non-coding RNA (623 nucleotides) under Lathyrus oleraceus (garden pea). RNAcentral describes it as "Pisum sativum (pea) long non-coding RNA (PSAT_LNC009868)". Lineage: Eukaryota; Viridiplantae; Streptophyta; Magnoliopsida; Fabales; Fabaceae. The record is from RNAcentral.
UUUGGAAUCAUGUCAUGGUUGAUGUGUUUGGAUAUUUUAAUUAGUCCCAUUUUGAAGUGUUAAGUCUAUGAAGCAUAUACAGGAAGCUGACACCCGACACUGACACGGAAGCAUAGAGGCGAUUUAAUGUAACUACAUAUGUUGACACAAGAAACGUCUUAAAUUCGAAGUUUUAGUGCUAUGUUGGUUUAGGUUGUUUGGGAAUCUUGUUCUGUGUUGUGUUGUUUGUUGCAGGUUAAGUGUUGAAAACAAAUUAGCUAAUAGCAAAUUCUAUCAUUUUAUUAAAAGAAAAUUGAAGAGUGGAAUGAGUAGUAUUAGCAUGAUCUCAGUGUCUUGUUAUAUUUAAAGUGUUGAAAACAAAUUAGCUAAUAGCAAAUUCUAUCAUUUUAUUAAAAGAAAAUUGAAGAGUGGAAUGAGUAGUAUUAGCAUGAUCUCAGUGUCUUGUUAUAUUUUUUCAAAUUUAGACAACUAUCCUUCCUUUUCUAACACUAAAUUAACUAGUGAGAUUUUGUGAUUGUUUGUAGCACAACCUUUGUCAUUAUCAUUACUAGGUUUUGACAUCUAGUCUUGGUUUGUAUUAUCAAUGGGUUGAUUUGAAAUUCAAGGUUUAAUAUAUUUGGAUA